GAUGAACGCUAGCGGCAGGCUUAAUACAUGCAAGUCAAGGGGGUAGCAAUACAACCGGCGCACGGGUGAGUAACACGUACACAACAUACCAUAUACUGAGGUAUAGCUUCGGGAAACUGAAGGUAAUCCCUCAUAGUAUUGUGAAAGGGCAUCUUUUUACAAUUAAAGUUUCGACGGUAUAUGAUUGGUGUGCGUUUGAUUAGUUAGUUGGUAGGGUAACGGCCUACCAAGGCAACGAUCAAUAGCUGGCGUGAGAGCGCGACCAGCCACACUGGAACUGAGACACGGUCCAGACUCCUACGGGAGGCAGCAGUAGGGAAUAUUGGACAAUGGGCGAAAGCCUGAUCCAGCCAUGCCGCGUGAUAGAUGAAGGCCCUCUGGGUUGUAAAUAUCUUUUAUCUGGGAAGAAACACUUCUAUUCUUAGAAGCUUGACGGUACCAGAGGAAUAAGCACCGGCUAACUCCGUGCCAGCAGCCGCGGUAAAGUCUGUACU
Molecule: ribosomal RNA, 494 nt
Filed under: uncultured bacterium
Lineage: Bacteria
Description: bacterial SSU rRNA
Rfam family: Bacterial small subunit ribosomal RNA
Source: RNAcentral